This is a long non-coding RNA of Lycium barbarum (goji berry), 725 nucleotides long. RefSeq lists it as uncharacterized. NCBI's taxonomy places the organism in Eukaryota, Viridiplantae, Streptophyta, Magnoliopsida, Solanales, Solanaceae. The transcript is spliced from 3 exons. The record is from RefSeq and is a predicted model, not a curated record.
GUGGGAUAAGGGGGUGGUCCCCAUAGUUUGUAAAUGAAAAUUAUAUACUACCCUUUCAUAAAUCAAUCCUCAAUUGUGAGAAGACUUCAGAUUCCAUAUUUUCUUGAAAGGAUAAUAACGUAGAAUUACUUAAAGAAAGUGAUCAAGUCUUUUAACUGAAUCGCGGAGGAAAAGUACAAGGAACAACAUAGAGGUUAUAGCCACGUCAGUAAUCUCCGGGUAAUAGCAAAUCAGUAGUUUCUUCAAAGUGGAGUAAGGAGGAAGAAGAGGAGUUCAUGGCAAAUAAGAUUGGUGAAGCCCGAGACCUAAGUUAUGAUUAACUUGAGAAGCGACAAGGUAUAGACCCUCGAUUUGGUGGUCCUCCAGCUUAGGAUUUCUACUCAGCUAUCUUGGAGAGCUCCAUUGUUCCGGAGCCUAAACUUUUGGUACAGAUCUUUUGAUGUAUAUAUAUAUAUAUAUUUAUCCAGGGGUACGGCGGGGCCCUGUCCCGUCAUAUUUCACUAUCGAUACUCUUAGAGGUCUGUAGACAUAUGUGUGGGUUGUGUAUCCGUUUUGUUCAGCUGUGUCUAUACGAUGUGCUAUGGAUAUGUUCGUCUGUAGUGGCAACCUUGUCGGCUUGCUUAUGGUAUUGAUAUAUAGUGGCAGCCUUGUCGGCUUGCGUAUUAUAUUGUGUUUUGAUUAGUUGUGACUCCUCAGGAGAUAGGUUAUCUGGAUAUAUACGUAUG